RNAcentral lists this non-coding RNA (29 nucleotides) under Rattus norvegicus (Norway rat). Lineage: Eukaryota; Metazoa; Chordata; Mammalia; Rodentia; Muridae. The record is from RNAcentral.
UUCCCCUUCCACUGGUGCUCUUACUAGGA